RNAcentral lists this long non-coding RNA (3848 nucleotides) under Cucumis sativus (cucumber). Its description in RNAcentral is "long non-coding RNA (CSAT_LNC002945)". The record is from RNAcentral. Lineage: Eukaryota; Viridiplantae; Streptophyta; Magnoliopsida; Cucurbitales; Cucurbitaceae.
AAGGAAACAUAAAGAGAAAGAAAAUGAGAGAGGGAGAGGGAGACCGAGAGGAAGAUUGAGAAGAAGAGGGCAUUGUCAUCACCAUUGUCGUCCCUGUUGUCGUCCCGUCGUCGUCGCCAUCGGUAAGUGGUUUAGUUUAGUUAUUGUUUUGUUUUAGUUAAUUAGUUUUAGUAUUUAGAUUUCAAAUUUGUUUUAGGUGUUAGAUUUUAGAUUUCUUUAGUAUUUAGAUUUUGAAUUAGUUGUAAGUUUUAGUAAUGAAAUUUAAUUUCAAGUGUUGUUAGAAUUUUGAAUUAGUUGUAGGUUUUAGAAAUUUGAAUUUGAAGUGUUGAAGUUGAGAUUGAAGUGUUGAAGUUGAGGUUGAAGUGUUGAAGUUGAGUUUGAAUUUAAAAUUUUCAAUUUGAAUUUAGGAAUUAAAUGAAGUUAUUUUUUUUAAAAAAAAAUAGAGGAUCUCCCGACGCAUGGUUCCUAGACAUCUCUCGAUGCUAUAUUGACAACAUCUUCGACGUUCAUACAACGUCGGAAGAUGUCUAGAAACCCUCAACGCACAACAUUGUGCAUCGGAGUUCCUCUCCCGAUACAUUUUCCUCACUUGUGUUCCGACGUAUAUUAGUGCGUCAGAAAAGCCUUUUCUGACGCUUUUUAUAUAUCUCCCAAUGAUUUUAUGCAUCGAGAGAGUCCUCAUUUCUUGUAGUGUUAGACAAAGAGCUUCAAUGUGGUAGAGGGGAAAGGCAUGACACCUUUAGGUGCUUUCAUCAAAGGGAGGAUUGAGGUUCUGAUUAUGGCGCUAAGGUUAACUGCCAUCUUCUUCUUAAUGCAAUAAAUCAUCAUUGUGCACUCUAGUGGGAUGGUGUUGUUGUCAACCAGGCAGGCGGUUUCGUUUUCAAGUCUUAGGUCUUAAUUCUUAACAACCUUUGAGUAUUGAUGCUCUACCCCAACCCUCAUCCAAAACGAUAACUAACACAAUGGUUUGGAAGUUUUUGUGAAACAUCAUCUAUACUUUUUCUUUAAUGGUCGAUGAAAAAAAAGUCAGGAAAAUGGUAUUUCUGACCAUUUUAAGUGUUACCAAAAUAUCACAUUUGGUGUAGUAUGGUAUUGUUUUGAAUAUUUUUGUAAAAUAGUGGAUCAAGAAGUUUUACUAAGAUAAAGUUUCAUGUUGGACAAGAGGAUAGUGGAUGGGAAUUAAGUUGAAUGGUCCACUUUUUUUUUAAAUCCUUUAAGGUUUUAUGAAAACCUUUCACAAUACCUUUUCAUAAUCAUUUUGUAAAAAUAAUAUCAAAUCAUUUAAAUAUACCGAAAAAUUAUUUCAUUUCGAAUAAACCUUUCUUUAUGCUUAAAAAAUCAUUUCAUUUUGUCAAGGAUCCCGAAUCGUUCUCUACGCUUGGUCUCAUUACCUCGCGUUUAGACUACUGUAUCAACAUCUGAGAACAUACAAAUUCGUCUUUGUUGCUAUACCGCUAAGCUUUAUACGCUCAUUUCAAUGCAUAAGUCAGCUUCUUAUUACCAUGUAGUUUGUACACUCCAUGGUGGCCUUCACUCUUUAUGUGCACACAAAAGUUAGCAUCAUCUCAAAGAAACAUAGUAUUGAAAUCAUAGUCAUCAAAUCAAGCUUUAAUAUUAUAAAUAAUGCUUGAAAACAUAACUUUUCGUAGAAAUCUUUCUGAAACAUUCUCAUCUGAAUUCUUCUUUCAAAUCAGUAAAGAGAAAUCGUAAUAAAGUUUCUUAACAUAAAUUCUUUUGACUGAAAAGCACUCACCAAACUUCACUAAAGAAGUCCUUCUCACAACCAUCUUUUCGCGUGGCUAAACCAACAACACUUUAACAUUUCAACAAAACUCUCGUCAUCCCCUCCUUAGUUACCUAAAUUCUCCUAUUUUAUAGAUCCCUUAUACUAACUUAGUCAUGCAAAUCCUUAAUAUUUAACCUAGUCAUGCUCAAAUCCUUAAUCUUACAUGUUAACCCAUGUCAAAUCAGAUUUGACAUUUUCUUUACAAACCUUGCUCCCCGCCUAACCCAAACCGUGAAUAAAUUCAACCACUUAACAUUUCUCGUGAAUAACCUUAUCGCUUGAUUAUAUUUUUAUUAUAAGAAACGUUCCACCUGAACUAACCAACUUUUACUCGCAUAAAACUCUUAUCACGAACUUAAACUCCAAGGCUUCCUCGUAGACUUCUUCUCCACGAAACACUUGGUUCUUCUCGCGAAGACCACCCAAAACUCCUAGUCUAACACUCAAAACUUUCAUUUCUUAACUUACGCAAAGACUUUUUCGCUUCUUAUCUGUAACGACCCAACUUUUUACCUAAGUCGAGGUCAUUAACUUUUGACAAAAGACCUUGGUUAAUUAAAAUUUAAAACCUCAAAAGAACAAAAUUUAUUUUGUUUGUUUGGGCCCCAGUUUUAAAUUACUAAAAUUCACAUGAAAAUUUAAAACUAAAAAGUUUCAAAUCUUUGAAUACUUUAAAACUUCAAAAUUUUCUAAACAGUCUCACGUUCGAAUACAAAUAAUACUAUAAAUCACUAAGCGGAAGCAAAAUUUUAAAGUGUCCCCUGUGGCGGUCACGCUUCCUUCCUGCCCCUCGCCGGUUUGCUGCCUUUAUUACCUUUGCCUGAAAAAUUAAACAUAAGGAGGGUGAGUAUAAAAAUACCCAGUAAGAGACCCUCUACUGGUCCCGUCAGGGGAAAAUAAAUUGUUAACAUUCUAUUGGGACACCCUGUACAGUCGCAGUCUUGUGAUCCCGUAGGAUGCACAUUUCAGUCUAACGCCCCGAGGGACGUACAUUUCAGUCUAGUGUUCUGCAGAAACACAUAUCAGUCUAAUGCUCCGAAGGUCGCAUAAAAAUUGGUGAUCCCGUAGGACACCUACAAGGCAUACAUCCCAAUAAAACUAACAAUUUUUCCCCUCAAUCCAUUCUAACCAUCUUUACGGUAAUUUAUGACAUCUUUCAGUUACUUCAAAAUAUAAAGUUCUUUCACUCAACAUUCUAACAGUCAACCUAUCUCACUUAAGUUCGAAGGUCGUUGAUAACAUUUUAAUACAUCUGUCAAGUAAACAACAAAGUCACAACACCCCUCAUUUUUACCAGCGCAAACCACAGUUCAGUAUAAUCCACAUUCAACCGAAACAAAUUCACUAGUUCACAUCCAAAUCUUUAUACAGCACAAUCUAUUAAUAUCAUCAUGUACACAUAAGCAUAAUUUCAGUCAUUCACAUGUAUACUUUCGGCAAUCCACAUCAAUUCACACAUCAAUGUAUUUAUAUAUAUGUUUCCAGUCAAAUACAACAUACACUAAACAUUUAGUCUGCAACCAAACGUGUACAUCUUAAUCAUCAUCCAUACAGUCCAACACAACUCAAAAACUUUAGGUGAGUCCAGUAGAAAGUCCCUUACCUCAAAGUUAGGGAAGCUCCCUUAAUCAACUAUCGUCCACGAAACAAUCCAAAUAAGGGCAAACGAAAUCGAAAUCAAAAUUCACAAAUUGGUUGUGAAUUUAAGUGAUCCAAGGUUACCUUUCACACCUUCAAGAAUAAUUUAUCAAAUUAGUCAAUUAACCCAUCCGUAACGUUUGAACACCUUGAAAACAUCACAACCCAUACUUAAAUUGUUUUGAAAACGACUACAAUUUCAUAACUUCAAUCUUACCAACAAUACUUCGACGGAUCUCAGUAAAAAUAGGGGCAGCGGCAAUCGAUUCUAAACAAAAACCAUCGUGCAAACAGAUUAGAGUGUACGUCGGUUUGUGAAUCGCGGUUAGAAGAAAAAACACGUUGCUGGAAGAAGAGGAAACGCGCGGCUAGAAGGAGGCGUGCGCGCUGCCUCAAAAUCGAUCGACGAUCUGACGCGGCGACU